UGGGGAAUAUUGGACAAUGGGCGGAAGCCUGAUCCAGCAACGCCGCGUGAGGGAUGACGGCCUUCGGGUUGUAAACCUCUUUCACCAUUGACGAAGUUGCAUCUUUUUGGGUGUGGUGACGGUAGGUGGGGAAGAAGCACCGGCCAACUACGUGCCAGCAGCCGCGGUAAUACGUAGGGUGCGAGCGUUGUCCGGAAUUAUUGGGCGUAAAGGGCUCGUAGGCGGUUUGUCGCGUCGGGAGUGAAAACCUCGGGCUUAACUCGGGGCUUGCUUUCGAUACGGGCAGACUAGAGGUAUGCAGGGGAGAACGGAAUUCCUGGUGUAGCGGUGAAAUGCGCAGAUAUCAGGAGGAACACCGGUGGCGAAGGCGGUUCUCUGGGCAUGAUCUGACGCUGAGGAGCGAAAGUGUGGGGAGCGAACAG
This 422-nucleotide ribosomal RNA is filed under the name uncultured bacterium. RNAcentral's name for it is "bacterial SSU rRNA". It matches the Rfam family "Bacterial small subunit ribosomal RNA", at positions 355 to 775 of the family's 1533-position model. The record is from RNAcentral.